GUAGGGUGCGAGCGUUAAUCGGAAUUACUGGGCGUAAAGCGUGCGCAGGCGGUUAUGUAAGACAGAUGUGAAAUCCCCGGGCUCAACCUGGGAACUGCAUUAGUGACUGCAUAGCUGGAGUACGGCAGAGGGGGAUGGAAUUCCGCGUGUAGCAGUGAAAUGCGUAGAUAUGCGGAGGAACACCGAUGGCGAAGGCAAUCCCCUGGGCCUGUACUGACGCUCAUGCACGAAAGCGUGGGGAGCAAACAGGAUUAGAUACCCUGGUAGUCCACGCCCUAAACGAUGUCAACUGGUUGUUGGGUCUUCACUGACUCAGUAACGAAGUAACGCGUGAAGUUGACCGCCUGGGGAGUACGGCCGCAAGGUUG
Molecule: ribosomal RNA, 368 nt
Filed under: uncultured bacterium
Lineage: Bacteria
Description: bacterial SSU rRNA
Rfam family: Bacterial small subunit ribosomal RNA
Source: RNAcentral